GACGAACGCUGGCGGCGUGCUUAACACAUGCAAGUCGAACGGAAAGGCCCUGCUUUUGUGGGGUGCUCGAGUGGCGAACGGGUGAGUAACACGUGAGUAACCUGCCCUUGACUUCGGGAUAACUUCAGGAAACUGGGGCUAAUACCGGAUAGGAGCUCCUGCUGCAUGGUGGGGGUUGGAAAGUUUCGGCGGUUGGGGAUGGACUCGCGGCUUAUCAGCUUGUUGGUGGGGUAGUGGCUUACCAAGGCUUUGACGGGUAGCCGGCCUGAGAGGGUGACCGGCCACAUUGGGACUGAGAUACGACCCAGACUCCUACGGGAGGCAGCAGUGGGGAAUAUUGCACAAUGGGCGGAAGCCUGAUGCAGCAACGCCGCGUGCGGGAUGACGGCCUUCGGGUUGUAAACCGCUUUCGCCUGUGACGAAGCGUGAGUGACGGUAAUGGGUAAAGAAGCACCGGCUAACUACGUG
RNAcentral lists this ribosomal RNA (468 nucleotides) under uncultured bacterium. RNAcentral's name for it is "partial 16S ribosomal RNA". It matches the Rfam family "Bacterial small subunit ribosomal RNA", at positions 28 to 507 of the family's 1533-position model. The record is from RNAcentral.